This is a regulatory RNA element of Oribacterium sp., 118 nucleotides long. It matches the Rfam family "FMN riboswitch aptamer (RFN element)". Rfam says of the family: The RFN element is a highly conserved domain that is found frequently in the 5'-untranslated regions of prokaryotic mRNAs that encode for flavin mononucleotide (FMN) biosynthesis and transport proteins. This element is a metabolite-dependent riboswitch that directly binds FMN in the absence of proteins. The record is from Rfam. Lineage: Bacteria; Bacillati; Bacillota; Clostridia; Lachnospirales; Lachnospiraceae.
GUAGUUCUUCAGGGCGGGGUGCGAUUCCCCACUGGCGGUACAGUCCGCGACCUGCGUUUGCAGCUGAGUCGGUGCAAUUCCGACACCAACAGUAUAGUCUGGAUGAAAGAGGAGCGAG